CGGGGCUCAACCCCGGAACUGCUUUCAAAACUGCAUCCCUUGAGUAUCGGAGAGGCAAGCGGAAUUCCUAGUGUAGCGGUGAAAUGCGUAGAUAUUAGGAGGAACACCAGUGGCGAAGGCGGCUUGCUGGACGAUAACUGACGCUGAGGCGCGAAAGCGUGGGGAGCAAACAGGAUUAGAUACCCUGGUAGUCCACGCUGUAAACGAUCAAUACUAGGUGUGCGGGGACUGACCCCCUGCGUGCCGCAGUUAACACAAUAAGUAUUGCACCUGGGGAGUACGAUCGCAAGGUUGAAACUCAAAGGAAUUGACGGG
This 315-nucleotide ribosomal RNA is filed under the name Weissella confusa. RNAcentral's name for it is "bacterial SSU rRNA". It matches the Rfam family "Bacterial small subunit ribosomal RNA", at positions 603 to 917 of the family's 1533-position model. Lineage: Bacteria; Bacillati; Bacillota; Bacilli; Lactobacillales; Lactobacillaceae. The record is from RNAcentral.